AGUGCGCACUCCUCCCAGUGCACUGGCCGGUUGGAGUUUUGCCAGGGAGGCCUUCCCACCUGCCUGUCUCAAUGGAAAGAAUAUGUGGAUUUGGAUUCAGGGACACCUUUAUCACCUAUGUGACUUUAGGUAAGUUACAAACACAGUGAGCCUCAGUUUUUGUACUAGUAAAACCUAUUAUGGCACAGGUUUGCAGGACGACGAAUGAGGUCUUGACCGCUGAGGUGAUUUAUAAUGUACUUGUAUUAGGACUGGAGUUAGUGUGCUAACUCAGAGGCCACAGUUAGUGGUACUGACAGAGAUUGCAUUUAGGUCUUCCCAAGGGUGGUUCCGUUCUUUAACCUUAGAUGUUUUAUUUUAUUUACUUAUUUAUUUAUUUAUUUAUUAAUUUUUGAGACGGAGUCUUGCUCCGUCACCCAGGCUGGAGCGCGAUAUCGGCUCACUGCAAGCUCCGCCUCCCGGGUUCACGCCAUUCUCCUGCCUCAGCCUCCCCAGCAGCUGGGACUACAGGCGCCCGCCACCGCGCCCGGCUAAUUUUUUGUAUUUUUAGUAGAGACAGGGUUUCACCGUGUUAGCCAGGAUGGUCUCGAUCUCCUGACCUCGUGAUCCGCCCGCCUCGGCCUCCCAAAAUGCUGGGAUUACAGGCGUGAGCCACCGCGCCCGGCCAAUGUUUUCCAUAUUUAGUGUUGUCACUCAUCUUUUAGCAUGGGCAACUAAAGCAGGUCUGAGGACAGUGCGUAUAGUUUUCUGCAACAUGACACAAAGAGUACCAGGGCGAGAUUAUGUCUGUCACAGAUGAAAAUAUUCCAUUUGUGUGUCAUAGUAAUCUAUUCAUUGGUUUAUGGACCCAAAAUUCUCCAGGGGGACUCACAAAUCCCCAUAAUGUUUCUAUGUGCCAGAUUUUUCAUUUGGAGCUCUGCUUUAGUUGACAGAUGUGUAAAAAUCACAUGUAGCCAAAUGACUCUUCAGUCAGCACUAAGCUGAUAAUGCUGAAGACUGGUUAUUCCUGCUAAGAUUCACUGGACCCUCUGCCCAGACUGUGUUUUUCAAAUCUCAUAUUAGAGCUUAAUGUUAUUUUAUUUUAAUGCCAAUGCUGUGCUCCCCAAUGCCAUAUCUUUAAACUAUUGUGCCCCAUUCUAAUACAAACACUAACUUACAUGGGGAGCUCUCUUUUGAGGAAGUCGAAGUAGAUCAGUAACUAAAUUCAGUUCCUUAAAGGUGUAAAACUCUGAGAGAGUCACACACAAGUCAGAUUGGGAGAAAGUUUCUUAGAAUAAUAAAUUUUAAAAUCUUACAUGGGGAGCUCUCUUUUGAGGAAGUCGAAGUAGAUCAGUAACUAAAUUCAGUUCCUUAAAGGUGUAAAACUCUGAGAGAGUCACACACAAGUCAGAUUGGGAGAAAGUUUCUUAGAAUAAUAAAUUUUAAAAUCUUAAAGGUUAAGAAUUAGUUGGAUGUUAAAUAUUGAGUCUCAACUGUAUCAUGUCACUGGUAUACGGAGGUAAGUUGACUUGCCCAAAAUCUGCUGAGAGUAACUGGUAGAGCUAGAAUUUGCAUCCACAUGUCUUCUGGUUACCCCAGUUUGAGUGCUCUUUUGGCACUCUUACUAUCCUUUACAUAAAAAUAUUGUGUAUUGGUAGGACAGUUUUAGUAAGCACAGAAAUUAUAUUAAUGGCAGUGCUAUAUCAAGAAGUGGACAAAUUCCUGUGUUUUGUUUUAGAUUUUGUGAUGAUGAUAGUGGCCCUUAAGUAGCGAUAGCUAUGUGAUAGAAAAAAAUUUAACAAAUUUUGCUGCAUCAAUAUUUUGCGCUUUGUGUUGUUUCAGAGUAUAUUUCCCCACCCCCUUUUUCUCUUCAACUGGGAAAACAAACGCAAAAUAUGAUUCUACAUAAAAAAUUUCAUUAGUUUGAUUUUUUCUUAGAAAUUCUAUUCUUCUUCUUAAUAUAUGACAGCUUUUAAAAAUGGCUUUAUUUCUUUAAAAAGAAAUAAAAAUGGGUUUCAAUUUGCAGUGCAGGCAAGGUAUAUCAAAAUAUGUGCUAGGAUAUAUAGCAGGGAAGUCUAGCCUGAAAUAGAGUAGAACUGUGAUAUUUAUAAAUAUUUACAAAUGAAUCUUUUAGUCACUUUUCAAAUCCCUGAAUUUCUAAAUAGUGCUUUGGCUGCAAAAAAACUAAAAAUCUAGUACUUCCAAACAUCAUGUAGAGAAUGUAAAUGGUGUAAUUCUAGAGGAAGACAGCAGAGAAGAGUGAGGAGUAUGGUUCACUGGAAAGUGCAUGACCUAUCUUCAGGGGCCAGUUCGUAAUCAACUUUAGUCCUGUGAUGUCAUAAGGGAAUGCAAAUUUAGUAUUAAGUGUUCCUGAUUUUCUUUUUUGAGAAGUUUGAAGUAUUGUUUUUUUUCUUUAAUGAUGACAACUAAUUUCAAUUUUAAAAAACAUCCAGGCCAAAUUAAAUAUGUCUGUCAUUGUAUCUGGCCUGUGGGUCUUUAGCUUUUGACCUCUGAUCUAAAGCAUUUAAUUCCUUCCUAUAAAAUUUAGUCGUGACAAGUAGAGUGCAGCAAAGCUGAAUUAAAAGCAGAUGCUGGACGGUCAGCCAUGCUCAGCCCUUAACACUGCUCUUUGUAACUACAUGAUUCAAAUUCAGGAUUUAGAAAAAUAAUACAUUCCUUUAAGCCGCGGGUCUCAAGAUCUCUGAUGGAAACUGCAUGAUAUCCUUACAGCCAAUAUUUCCUGUAUUUGAAAGCUGGGUUAACUCUCAUUGAUCUGGAAAGUUCUCUGUGGUCCUUUUUUUUCUCGUUCUAAAAAACCCAAAAAACCAAAACAAACUAACCGAAGGGAUUAAUCUCAUGAUAGGUAGAAGGCCUUAAAUCGUAGGGUCUUACACUGAGAGCAGCUCCUGCCAGCUUCCUCAAUACACGUGGCUGGUUUGAUUAAGAUAAAACCAUGAUAUUGAAAGAAUUUUGUUAUCUUCUUUCAUUAACACUUUUUAAAUCCAAAUACUCUUAUUUAUUUACAAUUUUAUAUUUUGCAAAGAUGAAACCAAUGUCUCAGGAAUGAAUGAUUAAAAAACUAAAAAAGUAAUUACUAUAAUACAAUUUAGCAUUAUGAGAAAGAAACCACUUUUCUGGAGUAUUCUACAUUGCGUGUACAUAUAUUUCAGUCUAGGGUUGUUACGCUUAUUAGUAACAGUUUGAUGCAAAAACUCAUUAAGAAUACUAAAAACUGCUCUUAUGUUAAAUUCAACAGUCUUUAUUGGAUUUAUCACUUUAAAAUAGCUGUUCUCAAAUUUUAUCAUCUGUGUAGUACUAGUCUACAAUGAUGGCUACCAAUAGCUCUUCCUAACCCUGUACCUUCACGGUGCCCCUUCCAUCAAAAGGUAGAGUCUUGUUUCCCUUUCCUUGAAUCUGGUCAGGUCACAUGACUUGCUUUGAUCAACAGAAAGCAGCAGAGGAGUCUCUGAGUCAGUUCUGAGACUAGCUCUGAAGAGACCUGGCAAUUUUCUUUUCUUUUUUUUGAGACGGACUCUUGCUCUGUCGCCCAGGCUGGAGUGCAGUGGCGCCAUCUCGACUCACUGCAACCUCCGUCUCCCGGGUUCAUGCCAUUCUCCUGCCUCAGCCUCCCGAGUAGCUGGGACUACAGGCGCCCGCCACCGUGCCUGGCUAAUUUUUUGUAUUUUUAGUAGAGACGGGGUUUCACCGUGUUAGCCAGGAUGGUCUCGAUCUCCUGACCUCGUGAUCCGCCCGCCUCGGCCUCUCAAAGUGCUGGGAUUACAGGCGUGAGCCGCUGCGCCUGGCCGAGACCUGGCAAUUUUCAUGUCUAUGAUCUUGGAAAUAAGCUUCCAUGUGAAGAAGCACAGAGUAGACUACUGAAUGGGGAGGGACUAGAGGAGAGAGAGAGAUUCCCCAUGGAAGAGGACUUUGGUGCCCCAUUGAAGGUCAGCACCAAGUGCCAUGAGUGAGACCCUCUUGGGUAAUUCCGUCCAGUAGAGCUCCCAACAGAAUGCAGCCAUUUCAGUGACGUCAGCUGAUAUCACUAUGGAGCACAAGUCCAGCCAAUCCACAGAAUUGCAAGAAAAAAAACCAGUCAUUAUUUUGAGCCAUUACAUUUUGGAAUGGUUGUUUAUGCAGUGGUAAAUAACUGGCAUGACCUGCUUGUUACUAAUACUGAGAUCUUGGCACCUCUUGCAGAGAUUCUGACUCAAUAGGUUUGGAUGAGGCUUGGGAAUCUGCUAGUUUAACAAGGUCCUGGAGUAAUUCAAUGCCAGGUAGUAUUUUCAGAACCACACUCAGGACCAUUACUCUGAAGUACUCCCAGGGAUUAUUCAAGAAAUUUAUUGUCAAAUAUGAAGAAAAUAUUAGAAUUUCUGUUUCUGUAUUUCUUUGGUCUAAAAAAUUAUAAAGAAAUUAUGCUUGACUAUGAUUGAUAUCCUGUAUAUUAGGUGCUCAUGUGAUUUUUUGGGCAUGUUAUCCUUCAAAUAGAAGGGACCGUCUAAUGUAAAGAGGAGUGGACAUUCUCUUCUUUCAUUCCUUUCGGAGCCACCUAGCUUACAUGUGUCUAUCCUAAGUGAAUCUAUGGAUUAUACUAUAGAAUAUGUUUAUUAUGGAAUCUUCCCAGUGUUUAGUCAUAAGAUGGGGGGUUGACCAUGAAAAUCUCUUAUGCCUUACGUACAGUUCAGUGGUUACUUUGAGACAAAACAUUUGGAAUUGUCAAAUUUAAAGACAAAUAGUUCACAUUGCUUUUACAAAAUACAAGUUUCCAAGUAGGCUGACCUUUCUGUGAUAUGUAACUGUGAAUAGAAUGCUACCUAGUAGAAAAUUAACAUAGGCACGUACACACACAUACUUGCUCACUUCCUUUGUACCCACACAAUAACAGCAGUUUUCACAGUAAGUGAGAGUUUCUUUUUUUUUUCUUUUUUUGUUAAGGAGUGUUUAAAAAUAAAUGAUGGGAAAUGUUUCCAUUGUUAUAUGAUUUUGCAGAAAAUGAUGUGUUACAUAAGAAAUUGCUUAUUUUGGUACACUUCAAAAAUUUUGAACCAGAACUUAAAAAUAUUUUUUCAUAUCUUCCAAGUUAAGAAUUUUUAUGUGUUUGAACACAUUUAUGAUUAGUUUGCAACAAUGAUUGGACAUUAGAGAAAAUGGAAAUUUAUUGGCUGAAUUUCACCAAAAAUCAUCAUAUUUGGGUGAGGGAUUAAAAUACGAGCAUCAUGGUUGGGCAGGUGGCUCACACCUGUAAUCUCAACACUUUGGGGGGCUGAAGUGGGAGGAUCCUACGAGCCCAGGAGUUUGAGACCAGCCUAGGCAAUAUAGGGAGACCCUGUCUCUAUGAAAAAUUUUAAAAAUUAGCCCUGCAUCAGGGCACACACUUGUGGUCUGAGCUACUUGGGAGGCUGAGGUAGCAGGAUGGCUUGAGCCCGGAGGUCGAGGCUGUAGUGAGCUGUGAUUGUGCCACUGCAUUCCAGUCUGGGCGAGACCCUGUCUCAAAAAAAAAAAAAAAAAAAAAAAAAGUGCAUCGUGAUUUACUAAGCACAGCCAAAUGAUGCAGUUCUUGCAUUUGGGAUUUAUAUAUAUUUAUGAGAAAUCUUUUUCACCUAUCAUUAAAAAAUCAUAGCAAAAGAAACUGAACUUAGAAGCAGACCUUCAAAUCCUGUCACAAGUUGUUAAACCAAAAUUGGUGAAAAUAUUCAAACAUAUUAUUGUAUUAAUUUAAUUAACAUUGUAUUUUUAAUGAGAGUUUUUUUUUUUUUUUUUUUUUUUUUGAGACGAAGUCUCGCUCUGUCACCCAGGCUGGAGUGCAGUGGUGCGAUCUCGGCUCACUGCAACCUCCGCCUCCCUGGUUCAAGUGAUUCUUCUACCUCAGCCUCCCAAGUAGCUGGGAUUACAGGCGCCUGUCACCACGCCUGGCUAAUUUUUGUGUUUUUAGUAGAGAUGAGGUUUCAUCAUGUUGGCCAGGCUGGUCUCAAACUUCUGACCUCAGGCAAUCCACCCACCUCAGCCUCCCAAAGUGCUGGGAUUACAGGCGUGAGCCACCGCGCCUGGCCGAGAGUUGUGUUUUUAAAAAUACUAUCACCUAAUAAAAUACUGUAUGCUUUAUUAUUUUAUUUGGUAAAUUUUCUUUUUUAUUUUAGAUAUACCUAAUAUAACAGCACACGUAUAUAAUUUUAUUAUUUAUUUAUUUUUUGAGACAGAGUUUUAUUCUCGUUGCCCAGGCUGGAGUGCAAUGGCACUAUCUUGGCUCACCGCAACAUCUGCCUCCUGGGUUCAAGCGAUUCUCCUGUCUCAGCCUCCUGAGUAGCUGGGAUUACAGGCAUUUGCCACCAUGCCUGGCUAAUUUUUGUAUUCUUAGUAGAGACGGGAUUUCUCCAUGUCAGUCAGGCUGGUCUUGAACUCCGGACCUCAGGUGAUCCACCUACCUUGGCCUCCCAAGUUGUCGGGAUUACAGGCGUGUGCCACUGUGCCCAGCCUAUGAUUUUAAAAUGAAAAAUUUACAACUACUUGCAGUUCAUACUUGGACAUUUUUUACUGAUGGAGUGUAUUAUCUAAAAACUUGGGAGACCAAAAUUCUAGAAUAUCAAGAAUUUUUUUUUUUUUGAGACAGGGUCUCACUCUGUUGCCCAGGCCUGAGUAGAGUGGUGCAAUCACAGCUCACUGCAGCCUCAACGUCCCAAGCUCAAGUGAUCUUCUUGCCUCAGCCACCUGAGUAGCUGGAACUACUAUAGGCAUCCACCACAACACCAGGCUGAUUUUUAAUUUUUUUGUAGAGACAGUUUCACCAUGUUGCCCAGGCUGGUUUUGAACUCUCAAGUUCAAGCCAUCCUCCCGCCUUGGUCUCUCAAAGUGCUGAGACUACAGGCGUGAACCACUGUGCCUGGCUCAAGGACUUUUUGGAGUAUCUUCCAUGUUUGUCAUUGUGUGGGAAAUAAUGUAAUUCUGAUUGCUCAUUGGUGACAGGGCUAUAGAGCAGGAACAUAGUGUUUCAGGCCUUUCUUGGAUGAGAGAAUGGGGUCCUGGCUUAGAUCAAUCUUUUGGCAGAUCACUUGCAGUUGAUAUUGUUAGAGUCUACUCUAAAAUAACAUAAUUAUACAUAGAUGGUGCCUUAUGAGAAUUCUAUUUAGUGUAUACUGCAAAGGAUAGCACAUUUCUUAAUACAUUAUCUUUUUCUUCUAUAUUCUAGAAUUGACAUUUAGCUCUCUAUCUUGAAAAUAAACCAUCCUGACAAAAUUACUUUUUAAAAAAUUCUACUUUUUCAUUUUUUUUUUUUUUUGGCCUGAUGCUGUGAGAAACAUUAGCAAGCAGAAACUAAACUUCAUCCAGCAGAGAUUCCCGGUCAUUUUAGCUUUCAGGAAGGGAACCCACUAUUUUUCUCAUUCUGGCUCUCUGGGAAAGCAGAGAGGGAACAUUUUAGUACAAGCACUUCUCACCUGUAUAGUGUAUGGUGAGUGCAUCAUUAAACAGGGGCACGUGCUUGUAGGCAAAAGUGCAUUUCAGUAAGUGGAUUGAAACCUUGCUGAAUUGUGCUGAAGCAAUUUAAACCUCCCAUUCCAUUUUACUAUUGGAGAAUUUCAUGAUAAGCAACUUGUAUAAAGAAGAAUACUAUAGAAAAACAUGCUCUGUGGUAAGCACUUGAGGUGGCUAUAUAGUCUCAAAAUGCAAACCUUCUUUUAAUUUAUCAGGAAUUUUCCCUUGAUAUUAUAGAUGUUGUAAGAUUGGACACCACAAAUGCUAAGCCAACAUAGAUGAAAUAUAUGUUAUUUUCAUAGUAGAAGGUGUAAUAUAAAUAAAAGGAAAGGCCUUUAGAAAACACUUUCCAUUCACACUUUAGUCCUUUGGUGAUUUUCUAUAAUAUAUUUAAAUGAGUGCUAUAGUUCACCCAAUACAUAUCUGACAAUGUAGUUGCUCACAUUUUUAUCAUUUUAUCAACUGGAUGUGUUAAAUUCUUAUUAAUUAUUUACAAAUGCCCUCCCUCCACCCUGGCCUUUUAAGACUCUCUAAGAAUGGCAUAUAAUCCCAGGAACAUUUUUAUUACAUUUGUUUGUGGAGGGGCCUAGUGGGUGAAGGUACAAAUUUGGGACAUUUCUUCAAAGAAGAAAGGGACGGAGACAGUAAGAGGGGGAUCAGAGUUUGAGGAGAAAAAAGGAAAAAGAUUCAUGUAACAGGAUAAGGGAAGAGAACCUGAGGGAUUUCAAAAAAGGAGAAAGGAGAUGAGGGAUAGAGGAGAAAGGGUUUUUUAAAAGAUUCCCUCCCUCAGGUCCUCGCUUCCAAGACGACAAAGAAAAGAAAGAACAAUGGUGGUGCCCAAAAGUGCCAUGACCAUAUGUAGCUUAUUUGCUGCACAAAUUGUGCCUAAUGCAUGCCCAAUGCUAUUAAAAAGUUCGUCAUUCGAAACACAGUAGAGGCCACAGCUGUCAGGGACAUUUCUAAAGUGAGUAUCUUCAACAGCGAAGUGCUUCCCAAGCUGUAUGGGAAGUUACGUUGCGCUGUGAGUUGUGCCAUUCACAGCAAGGUAGUCAGGAAUCGAUCUUGUGAAGCCUGCAAGGACCGAACACCUUCACCCAGUUUAGACCUGCGGGUGCUGCCCCAUGACCCCCGCCAAAGCCCAUGUAAGGAGUUCAGUCCUUAAGGACUGAUGAAAAAUUAUCCUCUGGAGAAAAAGAAAAUGGAAAUUGUACCUAAAAGAAAAAAAAGAUUGGUUACGUUGUCCGUUAUGUAACUCCUCUUUUAGCCUGCCAACAAAGCCUCAUGUAGAAUUCAGUUGUUCAAUGCUUUUGGAGUGUUUCUAUUUGUUUUUGGUUCUGAAUGUAUGUGUGAAGCUGGCUUUAAAGUAUCAAGGGGUUUGAAAGAGCAGAAAUCUUUUAAAGUUUUGGUUAAAAUAAGCAGUGGAGUACUAAGAGGCAGAAUGUGGUUGGGUUGGGUGAGUUGCUUUGGUAGAAAGGAAUAUCUUACCGUGGAUAUCAUUUAGAGCUUUCCAUGCAUGCUGUUAAUAAAGAACAGACUGAUUUUUACGCACUUCUGUUGUUUUAAUAUUUGCGACUCAUGUGUCUCGGGUGCCCAGGCUGAGUGCUUCCACUAUCCCACCUUGAUCUGUCAUUGGAAGUCAGCAAACAGCUUUAAUUUAAAAUAAGCCAGGCACGGUGGCUCAUGCCUAUAAUCCCAGCACUUUGGGAGGUUGAGGUGGGAGAAUCACCUGAAUCCGCGAGUUCAAUAGCAGCCUAGGCAACAUAGUGAGACUCAGUCUCUACAAAAAUAAAAAGAAAAAAUACAUCUGGGUGCAGUGGUGUGCACCUGUAGUCCCAGCUACAUGGGAGGCUGAGGCAGGAAGAUGCUUGAGCCCAGGAGAUCGAGGCUACAGUGAGCCAUGAUCAUGCCACUGUACUCCAGCCUGGGCGGCAGAGUGAGACUCCAUCUCAAAAACUAAACUGAAAAUAAAAAUAAAUAAAUAAUAAAAAUAAAAUAAGGCAUAUGUUGUGGCAACUUCCAUCAGAAGCUUGUCACUCUCUUUUUGCAGCUGUUUUCUACCAACUUAGAAGAUACUGCAGGUAUGUAAGUGACCAACGUGCUUUAAAAUUCCUGGUGACUUUGGUCUUAAUUUGUUGCCAUCCUUUCUGUACUCAGAUCUGAGGCAUCCUCUGAAACUGGGAAUAUAGAGAAUGACAUUUCUGUCUUCCUUUUUUUUUUUCAGACGGAGUCUCACUCUGUCGCCCAGGCUGGAGUGCAGUGGUGCCAUCUCGGCUCACUGCAACCUCCACCUCCCUGGUUCAAACAAUUCUCCUGCCUCAGCCUCCCGAGUAGCUGGGACUACAGGCACACGCCACCACGCCCGGCUAAUUUUUUGUGUUUUUCGUAGAGACAGGAUUUCACCAUGUUGGCCAGGCUGGUCUGACCUAAGGGGAUCUGCCCGCUUUGGCCUCACAAAGUGCUGAGAUUAUAGGCGUGAGCCACCGCAUCUGACCUUCUGUUCUCCUUUUGGUAGCUGAAAUUCCUCUGUACUAUUUCUGAUCCUGUGUAAAUAGGUUGGAAUAGGAUUCUGCCUUUCAGUUUUCAUCCUUUCUUUCUCAUCGUCCUCCUCUUUUUUCUUUCUCUCAUUUUAUGUCUACCUGUCCUUUCUUUUGGCUCUUAUUUCUAUAUCUAUAACAGUGAAUUGUUAGAGAACAGGGUGAAUACAAUGGGACAUAGAACACCUGGUGGUAAAUAUCCUGCUCCCUUUCUUCUUCAAAGCUAGUCAAACUCUAGUUUAAUGAGUUUCUAUCAGUUUUGUUUUCUAACGUCAAUCAAAAGGGAGAGUUAGAGAAAAGGGAGAACACGUGGGAAAAUGCAUAAGCAAAGAUAAUACUAUGAAAAUAACAAGGCCGAGCGCGGUGGCUCACACCUGUAAUCCCAGCACUUUGGGAGGCCGAGGCGGGUGGAUCACGAGGUCAAGAGAUCAAGACCAUCUUGGUCAACAUGGUGAAACCCUGUCUCUACUAAAAAUACAAAAAUUAGCCAGGCAUGGUGGCGUGUGCCUGUAGUCCCAGCUACUCGGGAGGCUGAGGCAGGAGAAUCACUUGAACCUGGGAGGUGGAGGUUGCAGUGAGCCGAAGGUUGCAGUGAGCCGAGAUCGCACCAUUGUACUGCAGCCUGGACAAUAAGAGCGAAACUCUGUCUCGAACAACAACAACAAACGAAAUGAAGGCCUUAAAAGUUGUCAGUCAUUUGUUUCUAGUCGGCUAUCUUCUCUUUGACUGUGCCUAUGCUUGUGGAAUACUUUCAAUGGGAUUAGAAACCUUAGUUGUUUGCUUGUUUUGAUGGAACUUAGACUUUCUCCCUGCAGUAAGUAGCUGUGUUGAAUUGCUAAAGCUGGAGUUCUGUUAAUACUUGUGUUGCUACAGCUACAAUAUUUUAAGGAGGGGGAAAGAGCUAGUGACAGCCCGAACACAAAAUCCUUACACAGACUCUUAGGUCAUUUGUGCCUUGCUUCCUUCUCCAUACCUUUUUGGUCACAGCUGGAGAGUCCUUGGUCAUUGGUUGUACACCUUUGCUCUUCUGAUAAAAUUUCAGAGUUAGUAUAUGGGCAGUUUCAGGGGGGGUGUGGAUGGUGGCCUGAACAUUGUGCCUGGGCUGCCAAGACAUGGCACACCCUCUUUCCCUCUUCCUGCCAAACUUUGGCUGUGCUGUUUUUGACCACAUGUAAACAACUGAACCAUAGCUAGAAGGGAGAUCAUCAAACUCUUUCUGUAAAGGACCAGAUAGUAAAUAUAUCAGGUUUUGCAGGCAAGAUACUCCUUUUGCAACUAUCCAUCUUUGCUGCUGAAGUGCAAAAGCAGCCAUAGAUAUAAACCAAUGGGUGUGGCUAUGUUCAAAUAACAUUUAUGUAUGAACACUGAAAUCUGAAUUUCAUAUACAUUUUAAAUAUCACAAAAUAUUAUUCUUCUUUUGAUUUUUUCCUCAACUGUUUACAAAUACAGAAACCGUUUAUAGCUUGGAGGCUGUACAAAAACAAGGCGGUAGACUGGAUUUGGUCUGAGUGCUGUGGUUUGCCAAUCAGGAAUGAGAACAUUGUCCUUUGUUAUGUUACCACGCACCACAAGUUUAGUGGCUUAACAUGACAGCCGUUUACUUGUUUAGCUUGCCAUUUGUUGGCUGGCAAUUUGGGUGGGCUCAACUGGGUGGUUUUUGACUAGGUUCAGUCAUACAACUGUGGUCAACUAUUGGUCAGCUAGUUGGCUCUGUUUCUGGGAGGUGGUUGGCUAGGGCAACAAAGUUGACGGCCAUGUGUCUCUCAUCAUUCAGCAGGCUAACCUGUGCUCGUUCACAUGCUGGUUCUAGGAUUAGCCAAAACAGGCAAGCUCCCAUAUGCGAGCACUUUUUGAGGUUCUGCUGGUGUCACUUUGCAAUUGUCUCAUUGUUUCAAGCAAGUCAUCUGGUCUCGUCCAGAGUGUGGGGAAGAACUAAGCGUGUGGAUACAGGCAGGCAUGAAUGAUUAGGGUCUAUUACUGCUACGUCUUAUCACAGAAGGCCUCUAGUGUUGAUGAUUUAUAUCCUUUCUGCAUUCAUAAUAUGUUUCCUCCCAAGACCCCCUAAAUCUCAUCCAAUCACAGCAUCAUACUCAAUGUCCAGGAUCUCUUGUUUGAUAAUUAUGUUUAGGAGUGACUUUUUGGAUGCAGAUCCUCUUGUUCCAGCUGCAUUAAAAAGAUAAAUUAUGCAGUGAGAAGACAAACACAUGAUAACUGCAGUAGACACUGCUAUUGGAAGGAGGGAAAAUUGGAAACACGUAGCAAUCACUGGUUCAUAGAAAUUCCGAAACCCGGGCCGGGUGCGGUGGCUUACGCCUGUAAUCCCAGCACUUUGGGAGGCCGAGGUGGGUGGAUCACGAGGUCAGGAGAUCGAGACCAUCCUGGCUAAUGGUGAAACCCCAUCUCUACUAAAAUACAAAAAAUUUGCUGGGCGUGGUGGCGGGCGCCUGUAUUCCCAGCUACUCGGGAGGCUGAGGCAGGAAAAUGGAGUGAACCUGGGAGGCGGAGGUUGCAGUGAGCCGAGAUGGCGCCACUGCACUCCAGCCUGGGAGACAGAGCGAGGCUCUGUCUCAAAAAAAAAAAAAAAAAAAAAAAAAAAAGAAAAGAAAUUCCGAAACCCAGCCGGGCAUAGAUUUUCAGAUCCUUGUACUUCAAGGUGAGAAAAUUUUCCUUGAUUGGGCUAAGAUUCCACUUCUGGCAGCUGUUUCUCCAGAGUCUUAUUUUCUACUGCUCUCUGGAAGUAGUACUGUAGUCCAUUGUGCAUCACAGUUCUUGCCUGUGUCCUCUGAAACGUCAUUCCUUUUUAAUAAGAAAUGGCCUCUGUAUGCAGCUGAAUACCUUCCUCAACCUUCAUUCCUGUAUAAUGUUGGGAGCCCAGAAGCCUCUUUUUGUUUCAAGGUGAUGUGAAUAUUUCAGUCCAAGAUAGUGGUGCUUUUGUUGGCACAAUUGACUUCAGGGUUUUUAGAACUUCCUACAAGGCAGAUUCAGGUUCACUCCAUACCCCAGAAGCCACAUCCAUAAUUUUUAUUGAGAGAGACUUUUUAUUUAUUUAUUUAUUUUUUUGAGAUGGAGUUUCGCUCUUGUUGCCCAGGUUGGAGUGCAAUGGUGCAAUCUCGGCUUACCACAACCUCCGCCUCCUGGGUUCAAGCAAUUCUCCUGCCUCAGCCUCCCGAGUAGCUGGGACUAUAGGCAUGCGCCACCACGCCCAGCUAAUUUUGUAUUUUUAGUGGAGACGGGGUUUCUCCAUGUUGGUCAGGCUGGUCUUGAACUCGCGACCUCAGGUGAUCCACCUGCCUGGGCCUCCCAAAGUGCUGGGAUUACAGGCAUGCGCCACCAAGCCCGGCCGAGAGAGACUUUUUACUUUGGUGUGUCAGCCUGCUGGGGAAAACAAUCUUUAAAAAUCUUAAAAGCCAUUUUUGUCUGAGUGUCUACUAUGUGUAAUCUUAAAUUUUUCAGAGUUUUUAACAAAGGGACUUACAGUCACACUUUGAUUUGAUCUUUACCCUGAGGCCAUUUCUUACCUUGACAAUUUUUUACUGACAGGGAAGAUUGGAGAUAAGGAAAAAUUUAUUUUCUUCGCAGCAUGUUCCAGCCCCUCUAUAUAUCUCCUAAGUUCUGCUUAUAAACAGAAUUUUUUAAAGCUCAUCUCUCCUUUCUAGUACUUUAUCAUAGGCAGCUAAAAGAAGCCAAUUAACAAGUUUAACUUUCUGUGAGGCUGUCUCCAUUAAUCAAAUCCAGAAGUUCAUUAGUUGCUGCAGGUAACAUUUUAUCAAUUGUUCCACAACUACUAAUUUCAAAUAACUAUUUUUCUAGACUGCCAUAGUCAUUUCUUUGCUACUUUUGCAGCCUCUGUUAACAGUGUGCUUACCAUUUUUCAAGGCUUCAUAGUCACUUUGCUGCUUUUCCAGCUUCUACCAGCCACAUCACAUCAUUCCAAAGCCAAGAUGCCACGUUUUUGGUUUCUGUUGCAGAAACGCCCCACUUCUAGGUACCAAUGUCUUUCUCAAUUAUCUAUUGUUGCAAACAAGGCAUUCCCCAAAUUUAGUGGCUUAAAACAAUCAUUUGUGUAUGUGGGUUGGAAAAUUUGGGCUGGGCUAAUUGAGGAACAUUUGCUGGUCUUGGGUGGGCUCGCUCUAGAAUCUGUAGUCUUUAACACUUAGUUAAGAGGCUUGGCCUCAGGUGUUGACUGGCUGUUGAGAAGGAUAACACGGAUACCAGGCGGUAUGUCUUCUGUUAUCAAGCCAGCUAGUCAGGGCUUGCUCCCACAGUAGGAGUCGCCCGGAUUCCAAGAUCAGUCAGAGAAGAGAAGCUCCAAAGCACAAAUACUUCUCAAUUCUCUACUUGUGUUACAUUUACUAUUGUCACAUUGGCCAAAGCAAGUUACAUGGCUAAGUCUAGACCAGCGUGAGUGUGGGAGGGAAUUACCCCCAGGCUUACAUUGAAGGAAGUGAUGGGUUCAGAGAAGUGUGAACAAAGUUGGCACCAUUAUUGCGACGAUCUACUGGGCUUACGUUAAAUAGAGUAGACUAUAAUCUGACACACAGAAAGCCUAUCAAACUUCCAGAGGAAUUGCAUCAGUAAAAGGGCUGCCAGCUUGCAGAAAAAACAAACAAACAAAAAACAAAAAAAAACAUGAAGUUUGCUCAAAUGGCAAAUUUAGAGUGAUUGAUUAUGCAGCUAGCUGACGCAAACAUCACAAAUUCAAGUAAUGACUUAAAAUUUGGUAAAGAGAAUUUACCAAAUAUCAGUACUACAUACAUUCGUGCGUGUGAUUUUUGGAGGCUGAGCUAUCAAAAAUGCAAGAGGAUAGAAAGAAAAAUACUUCUGAGAUUAGGCAAACACAGUGAAAAAUAACAACAAUGGAUACUAUCUAACAUUUAUGGGAUAUCAAUCGUGACACACACUAUGCUAGUAGCUAUUAUCUCUUUUAAAAAUAGAAAAAAUAGUAUUAACUAAGAUAAGUAAAUACAAUUUUUUGCUUUUUACAUCUAGGAAACAUGACCUGCUUAGUAUAACGUGAAAGCUUUUUACAUUGUAGUGCUGCUAAGGAUUAGUGAAAGCAUUGCUGGCUUGAAGUUGGAGUUUAAUAGAAAAAUGUAGGCAGCUAGUCAUACCUGUAAUCCCAGCACUUUGGGAGGUUGAGGCAAGAGAAUCACUUGAGGCCAGGAGUUGAAGACCAGCCUGGGCACCAUAAUGAGACCCCAUGUCUAGAAAAAUAAUAAUAAAAAGUUAUCUGGGCAUGGUGGCAUACAACUGUAGUCCUAGAUACUCAGGAGGCUGAGGCAGGAGAAUGGCUUGAGCCCAGGAGUUCAAGGCUACAGUGAGCUAUGAUCAUGCCACUGCACUCCAGCCUUGGUGACAGAGUGAAGCCCUAUCUCUGAACAAAAAAGUAUACGUAUUUUGGGGUUAUUAGUAAUUUGCCCACUUUCCCAGUUGAAUAAACACUACGGUUUAGGGCAGCUUCCAUCUUUAUAAUGAAGCCAGCUCAAGUUGAAGUUUCUUCCUUUACUAAGUAAAACAUUUUAGUAUAAUAAUUGGCUCUUGGGAAGAGAGAGUAUAGUAUGAUUGCUUUUGUAUAUUUCUCAUCCAUUCUUUAUUGAUUCCAAAGUAAAAGAAAAAAAGUGAAAUUUUUCUAGAACAAAAUAUUUACUUCUCAUAAUUAAGGCAAUUUAUAAGGAUUCACAGGAAAGUUAGCAAAGAAAUGACAGUAGUUAGACUUGAGGAAAAGAGUGGUUACAGGUGAUUUUCUUUGGAUUCUUAGGUUAAAGUGAAGAGUAAAAAUGAAAGAAUGAACCAAACCUAGGGGUAUGUCAAUAUUUUCUCCAAAUGGAUAGAAAGUAAUCAUGUUAAAGCUCUCUGGAACACACACACACACACACACACACACACACACACAUGAACACAGAAUUAAGAAUGACAAAUGGGUGGAUGGAGGUGAAAAAAGAUUCUGUAAAGACAUAAAAUGUUAACCAAACUUUAUUUUUAUAUUGAAAUUCACUAUUUUGGAAAAGAUAUCUUCCUCCAUGAAAGAAACAGGAUUUGAGAAAACAUGUUUGAAAAGUGCCUCAGAUGUUCAAGUUUGUGAUCAUCAAGUAUAAUUCAUAAUUGGCAAAAGUAAAUUAGGAGCUUUGGCGGUUAAGAUGGUAUCUUAAUUUACACUCCAGGCUGAACAAAUGGAAAGUUCUUGAACCCUUACAGAAAAAGUAAAUAUAUUAAAAAUAUUUAGCGUUGACAAUAUAUUUUAAUGUAGCCGGAAGAUUAAUAAAUUCACUAAAUUAUAGAAUGCUUAAUUUUUUAACCUUGAUUUUUCUCCUUUUCUUUAAGAAUAUUUUUCCCUGUUACAUGACUUGCAGAAAUUUGUCUUAUUUUUUUACUUUUUAUUUUGAAAAAUUUCAAAUCUACAAAAAAGUAAUAGAAGACUUUAUAGUGUAGGGUAAUGAACACCUGUGUACACUUCAUCACGUUCCCCAAUUGUUAAGAUUUUCUCACAUUUGCUUUAUCUCUCCAUGAAUAUGUACACAUCAUCCAUCUAACUAAUUUAUGAAUUACUUGAGAAUAAAUUGCCCCUAAAUACAUAUAACAUAUGUGUCCUUAUAGUCUUGCCUGGAGCAAUAGUCUUAUGAUCAAAUUGAGGAAAUUUAACAUUAUUAGUACAACACAAAUUACACAAUAUAUAGUUCAUAUUUUUUUCAAUUGUCCCAAUAAUGCCCUUUAGAGAAAAACAAACGAAAAACCUUUUUUUUUUUUUUUUUUUUUUUUUUUCCCAAUUCAGGAGUUACUUCAGUAUUCCAUAUGGUGCUUAGCCUCUUUAGUCUUAAGUCUGGAUCAGCUCAUCAAUCCUUUUGUUGUUCAUGACAUUUUGAAAAGAACAAGCCAAUUAUUUUGUGUUUGAUCAUUUGUGUUUGGUGGUUUCUUCAUGAUUAGAAUCAGGGUGUGCAUUUUUGUUAGAGUACUAUAUAUGUAGUAGUGUGUUCUUUUCCGAGUAUCCUAUCAAGUGCCAUGCGAUGCCAGUUUAUCCUAUUACUGGUGAUGCUAACUUUAUCGUUUCCUUAAGGAAGUGUUUACUAUUGUCUCUACUUUAAAGAUAUUAUUCCUUUUGGUAGUUAAUAUGUAAACCAAGAGGAGGUACUUGGAUCGUGUUCCCAACUUUUACCCAGAGAUUAUGGCAUUUAUUGAUGAUUUUAGCCUAAAUCAGUGAUCACUGUGUUAGCUGCCAAAUGUUGAUUCUUAAAAAUUUGAUCAAGCAGAAAUUCUUACCAGUGAUUAUUUUUAAAAGCAUAUAAGAGGUUAUUUUAGGGAAGUAAUACAUCUGUAGACAACCAGAAAGGCAAAAUAUUAUUACAGGUAAUUAAUCUGGAAAAGCAAAAGAAAAGAAUAACCGCAUUGAAGAACAGAGCUAUUGCAAAGAAUACUCUGAAUUUUUCAUCAAGCAGCAAGAUGGUAAUAAGUUAGGUCUAUGAAGUGAAAUGUGUGCAUCAACCAUUUUCCCCUGCAUAAUCUCCAGCUGCUUUGCAUUUAUACACAAUCAUGCACCGUAAUAAUCAGGAAAAUGUUUGGACUGUACAAAAAAACCCCAGCUUGGUAGCAAGUGUAAUAGAAGAGAAAAAUGAAAACAAGGAAACUGGAUAAGACCUUUAAGAUUAGAAAAUGUUUAUGUAAAAUUUCUAAAGCAAUUGAUAAAUUAUACUACUUAUAUUACUAGUUUUCCCUCUCCAUUUCUGGCUAAUUUUAUUAAUAUACUAUAGCUUCAGAUUAUUCUCAGUUGCAUCUAGUGAAUUUAAAAAAGAACAACCUGCAAUAAAGCAUUUAUCAUGUCUUGCUGAAUAAAAUGUGUAUUUUGUGCAACUUGAGAUUGAAAGCUUUCUAAACCUCUCAGAGUUUUAAAUCAGACAACCCCCCCACUUCUUGCAGGCACAGUUGCUUAUUUGUCACUUUGAGUUUGAUUUAUCUCAAGUAGGAGCUAAAACUGUAUUAAAAUCUUCUGUUAAGCAUGUAAAACUCUACAUAUAUACAGCCAGUCAGUUAAACAUCUCUAAUGAAAGACAGCUGAAUUCUUAUUGGAAACAAAAAUAGGAUAGAAAGAGAUUUGUUUCUGUGAAGGAUGCUGUGAAAAGUAUGAGAACCAGGUGUCUUCUCUUUACAAAAUGGUGCUGAUGUAUAAGGCAAUGAAAAUAUUUUGAUGAUUUUUUUAAAAGAACACAUAAAGUAACCAGUGAAUCUGUGUAUUCAGCUAUUUAUCAAUUUAGUGAUGGUCUGAAAAGUCAGUGAAUUAACUAGUGCCCUCUGCUUUAUUCAUUAUGUCAUUAUGUCAUAUUUUUUCCUUUUUGUUUGCAUUUAAAUGAGAACAACUCAGAAUAUAAAGUUGUAUAAUAUUGAUAGUUUUAUAAGAAUUGUUUUAUAAGAUAUAAAACAAUUAUAAAAACAUCUUAUAUAUUACAAUUAUAAAAAACAUUUAUA
Molecule: long non-coding RNA, 18434 nt
Filed under: Homo sapiens (human)
Lineage: Eukaryota; Metazoa; Chordata; Mammalia; Primates; Hominidae
Description: non-protein coding LINC01162:4
Source: RNAcentral